This 745-nucleotide unclassified non-coding RNA is filed under the name Athalia rosae (coleseed sawfly). RNAcentral's name for it is "misc RNA ENSAEAG00005005897.1". Lineage: Eukaryota; Metazoa; Arthropoda; Insecta; Hymenoptera; Athaliidae. The record is from RNAcentral.
CGUUGUCGACGCCGGCGUAGGGCUCGUCAUCGACGCGACCGGCGUCGACGACUUACCCGCCAGGGUUUCGGCGUCGGGUAUGUGCCUCGUCUGGUGCCUCGAGUCGGUGUAACGUCUCUUGGUAUACUUUUUAUUCUCAUUCGUAGCAGCCGACGACGAAUUAAGGUUCGUCGACGGGACGACCGACUGGGACUGUUGACUCGGUUGGGACACCGUCGAAGGACUGGGACCGUCCGGUCUGGAUAUGUGCAACAUCCUCUCGAUGUCGGCCGUCUUCGACCUGGGGAGAACGCGACGUAGAGAGAACCGAGGUAUUCUCGCGGUGAAUGCGGACCGACGAUACCUUCGCUGCAACCGGAUAUCGAACGUUGACGCUGCCUCCUGGGCGGUGCGCAGGGCUGCCUGGGUCCCUCUUCGAUGUAGGGAAUAUCCGGAUCGUCGAGAUUCAAGGUGAACGCACCGCUCAUAGGAAUAGUCAGACUCGCCGUUAUCACCAUGGGGGAUGACUUUCUCCUGAGAUCCGCGGGAUCUUCGCUGGAUCCGCUGUCGACGCUGUUGCUCCGAGCGUUCUCGUCCUUUCGACGACUGCCGGGACGCUUGGGUCGCCUAGGUCUGGGCCCGAUGUCCCCCCCGACACCGGCCGUCUGAUGGAGGCAUUGUUCCCGCGUCCAAACACGGCGGGACGCCGCGGGCGCCGCGCCUUCCUCCGGAAACGUUUCCGCCUCGCUGCAAGGGUCCACCUCGU